RNAcentral lists this ribosomal RNA (1126 nucleotides) under uncultured organism. Its description in RNAcentral is "bacterial SSU rRNA". It matches the Rfam family "Bacterial small subunit ribosomal RNA", at positions 309 to 1453 of the family's 1533-position model. The record is from RNAcentral.
CACAUUGGGACUGAGAUACGGCCCAGACUCCUACGGGAGGCAGCAGUGGGGAAUAUUGCGCAAUGGGGGAAACCCUGACGCAGCAACGCCGCGUGAAGGAAGAAGGCCUUCGGGUUGUAAACUUUUUUGAUUGGGGAAGAAAAAAAUGACGGUACCCAAGGAACAAGCCACGGCUAACUACGUGCCAGCAGCCGCGGUAAUACGUAGGUGGCGAGCGUUGUCCGGAAUUACUGGGUGUAAAGGGCGUGUAGGCGGGAUUGUAAGUCAGAUGUGAAAUUCCAGGGCUUAACUCUGGAGGUGCAUCUGAAACUAUAAUUCUUGAGUGCUGGAGAGGAAAGCGGAAUUCCUAGUGUAGCGGUGAAAUGCGUAGAUAUUAGGAAGAACACCAGUGGCGAAGGCGGCUUUCUGGACAGUAACUGACGCUGAGGCGCGAAAGCGUGGGGAGCAAACAGGAUUAGAUACCCUGGUAGUCCACGCUGUAAACGAUGGAUACUAGGUGUAGGAGGUAUCGACCCCUUCUGUGCCGGAGUUAACACAAUAAGUAUCCCACCUGGGGAGUACGGCCGCAAGGCUGAAACUCAAAGGAAUUGACGGGGGCCCGCACAAGCAGUGGAGUAUGUGGUUUAAUUCGAAGCAACGCGAAGAACCUUACCAGGGCUUGACAUCCCUCGGAUAACAUAGAGAUAUGUUAGUCCUUCGGGACGAGGAGACAGGUGGUGCAUGGUUGUCGUCAGCUCGUGUCGUGAGAUGUUGGGUUAAGUCCCGCAACGAGCGCAACCCCUAUUGUUAGUUGCCAUCAUUAAGUUGGGCACUCUAACGAGACUGCCGGUGACAAAUCGGAGGAAGGUGGGGACGACGUCAAAUCAUCAUGCCCCUUAUGUCCUGGGCUACACACGUACUACAAUGGUCACUACAAAGGGAAGCAAUCCCGCAAGGAGGAGCAAAUCCCCAAAAGUGAUCUCAGUUCGGAUUGUGGGCUGAAACCCGCCCACAUGAAGUCGGAAUUGCUAGUAAUGGCAGGUCAGCAUACUGUCGUGAAUACGUUCCCGGGCCUUGUACACACCGCCCGUCACACCAUGAGAGUUUGCAACACCCGAAGUCAGUAGCUUAACCGUAAGGAGGGCGC